Molecule: ribosomal RNA, 439 nt
Filed under: uncultured bacterium
Lineage: Bacteria
Description: partial 16S ribosomal RNA
Rfam family: Bacterial small subunit ribosomal RNA
Source: RNAcentral
CUACGGGUUGCUGCAGUGGGGAAUCUUAGACAAUGGGGGAAACCCUGAUCUAGCCAUGCCGCGUGAGCGAUGAAGGCCUUAGGGUUGUAAAGCUCUUUCAGUGGGGAAGAUAAUGACUGUACCCACAGAAGAAGCCCCGGCUAACUCCGUGCCAGCAGCCGCGGUAAUACGGAGGGGGCUAGCGUUGUUCGGAAUUACUGGGCGUAAAGCGCACAUAGGCGGAUCAGAAAGUCAGAGGUGAAAUCCCAGGGCUCAACCUUGGAACUGCCUUUGAAACUCCUGAUCUUGAGGUCGAGAGAGGUGAGUGGAAUUCCGGGUGUAGAGGUGAAAUUCGUAGAUAUUCGGAGGAACACCAGUGGCGAAGGCGGCUCACUGGCUCGAUACUGACGCUGAGGUGCGAAAGCGUGGGGAGCAAACAGGAUUAGAUACCCGUGUAGUC